RNAcentral lists this microRNA precursor (131 nucleotides) under Gossypium hirsutum (cotton). RNAcentral describes it as "MIR7502 microRNA precursor family". It matches the Rfam family "MIR7502 microRNA precursor family". RNAcentral also lists the same sequence under 1 other name. Lineage: Eukaryota; Viridiplantae; Streptophyta; Magnoliopsida; Malvales; Malvaceae. The record is from Rfam by way of RNAcentral.
CUAUUAAAAUUUCGUCUAUUUCUAUUGUUUAAAACAGAUGUAGCUAAUAGAAUAUGUGGUGUAUCACAUGCACCUCAUACUAAGGUAGAAUGACCAAUUUUUAACCAUAAAAAUGGAUGGACUUUUAAUCU